Equus caballus (horse) is the source of this 1479-nucleotide long non-coding RNA. RefSeq lists it as uncharacterized. NCBI's taxonomy places the organism in Eukaryota, Metazoa, Chordata, Mammalia, Perissodactyla, Equidae. The record is from RefSeq and is a predicted model, not a curated record.
GUUAGGGGAGGAGCUCUGGGGACGGGGAGGAGGAGCGGGAAGUGAAAUGAUGAAAGUCGAAAGCAGGGGAAAGUUUCCAUAGGAAAAGUUUCUUAGUGGAAAAGGUCAUAAAUAGGAUACAAAAUCCUGAAUCCAUUCAAUCAAGUACCAUUUCUUGAGUGCAGGCCAGGGCUGCAGAGAUAACCAAGAAAAAGUGCUGACACUCUCCUGUCCUGUGAUGGGGGUCUGAAGAAAUACACAGAUGCAUACGCACCAGCCAUGCUGCCGCCUCUGACUCAGCAGUGCUGCUGCCAGGAUGUGCGUCCAUGUUCGCAGAGGGACUCGUGCGAGAAUGCCGGUGGAGGAUUACCUGUCAUAGCCCCACGCUGGAAACACCCCAAAGGCCCCCAACGGGAGGAUGGCCACGCCAGGCAGGCACCCUGCCUCCCGCAAGAAUAGGCUAGCCCUGGCUGCCCGCCACAAUCACAUGGCUCUCAAACACAACUGCAGGGAAAGAAGCCAGGCUCGAGUGUGCGCGCCGAUUCCAAGGAUGGAAAGUUCAGAUCGGGCGGAGCUGUGCUGGGGAAGGGGAAGGCGUCUGGCCAGUAGGCACAGGGAAUCUUCUGGGGCCCCCGUGAGUGGAGCUGUUCAAUCCGUGUUCAGUGGGCUCCCUUUGGGAGCAUUCUAUAUUUCUACUUCAGUAACUAAGCUAAUAAAACUUCUAAGGCCAGGUCCACAGAAGCUGGCCCCAGGGGCUGUCUCCCGUGCUCCCCUGGCUGCGGGGCCCAGGCCAGGCAGGGUGCCUCACCGGCUGUCUUGUAUCUUUGGAAUUACCGUGCAUGUGUAUUACCUUGUCAAAGAAUUAAAUCUUUUCUUUAGUAAAGAAAAAUAUGCAUUCAGGUCUUGCGCCUCACAGCUCAGCCCCUUCACCCAGGAGUAGCUGAGUGUGCCUGUGUCCCCACCUGCCUCUGCGCUCCCCUCUGCUCGUGGGCCCGGCUUGGGACCAACAACGGGGCUCCCGGCUCACAUGCUGGGGGGUUCAUCUCUGCCCCCGAUCUGCUAGUGGGGUGGCAUAGGCAGUGGCAACCUCAGGCCUCAGCAUGGUGGCCCUGCCCCGGAGAGAGAGCCCAUCUGCCCGUGUGGACCCUCUGGGGCCCCCAGCCCAGAGACCCCACCACCCUUCCUGGGCCUCCCCAGACCCACCUCCUCUCUGCCGUUCUGGGGGGCCGUGGACAGGGGACGGAUUUGCUGCCAAGUAAAAGAGGCCGGAAGAGUUUCCUCACCAAUCUCGGUUCCUUACCCAGGCCUUUGGAUGUGGUCGGUUGAGAAUAACGCUUUGACGUGUCCACUUUAUUUAAGCAUCUAGAACAUUGUAACAGAAACGUGUGACUUGUUUUGGUGACCUUUACCGUCCUUAGGUGCCCAGAAUCCUGGAAGAUUGCUCAUUUGUACUCUGUACUGUUACAAAAAAUAGGAAAAAAUGAACAACGUUAAGAAACA